This 365-nucleotide ribosomal RNA is filed under the name uncultured eukaryote. RNAcentral's name for it is "partial 18S ribosomal RNA". It matches the Rfam family "Eukaryotic small subunit ribosomal RNA", at positions 592 to 976 of the family's 1831-position model. The record is from RNAcentral.
CAAUAGCGUAUAUUUAAGUUGUUGCAGUUAAAAAGCUCGUAGUCGGAUUUUGGCUGAGAACGAUCGGUCCGCCGUUAGGUGUGCACUGAUUGGUCUCAGCUUCCUGGUGAGGAGGUGUGCUUCACGGCCACUUAGUCACCGUGGUUACUUUGAAAAAAUUAGAGUGUUCAAAGCGGGCUUACGCUUGAAUAUAUUAGCAUGGAGUAACACCAUAGGACUCCUGUCCUAUUUCGUUGGUCUCGGGACGGGAGUAAUGAUUAAGAGGAACAGUUGGGGGCAUUCGUAUUUCAUUGUCAGAGGUGAAAUUCUUGGAUUUAUGAAAGACGAACUUCUGCGAAAGCAUUUGCCAAGGAUGUUUUCAUUGA